Molecule: ribosomal RNA, 468 nt
Filed under: uncultured bacterium
Lineage: Bacteria
Description: partial 16S ribosomal RNA
Rfam family: Bacterial small subunit ribosomal RNA
Source: RNAcentral
GACGAACGCUGGCGGCGUGCUUAACACAUGCAAGUCGAACGGAAAGGCCCUGCUUUUGUGGUGUGCUCGAGUGGCGAACGGGUGAGUAACACGUGAGUAACCUGCCCUUGACUUUGGGAUAACUUCAGGAAACUGGGGCUAAUACCGGAUAGGAGCUCCUGCUGCAUGGUGGGGGUUGGAAAGUUUCGGCGGUUGGGGAUGGACUCGCGGCUUAUCAGCUUGUUGGUGGGGUAGUGGCUUACCAAGGCUUUGACGGGUAGCCGGCCUGAGAGGGUGACCGGCCACAUUGGGACUGAGAUACGGCCCAGACUCCUACGGGAGGCAGCAGUGGGGAAUAUUGCACAAUGGGCGGAAGCCUGAUGAAGCAACGCCGCGUGCGGGAUGACGGCCUUCGGGUUGUAAACCGCUUUCGCCUGUGACGAAGCGUGAGUGACGGUAAUGGGUAAAGAAGCACCGGCUAACUACGUG